ACCAGUGUGGUAUAGUGGUUUGAAUGUUGGACUAUGAUUCCGGAGACCAGGAUUUGAAUCCCUGCUCAGCCA
Molecule: non-coding RNA, 72 nt
Organism: Phrynosoma platyrhinos (Desert horned lizard)
Lineage: Eukaryota; Metazoa; Chordata; Lepidosauria; Squamata; Phrynosomatidae
Source: the annotation of a GenBank genome assembly